RNAcentral lists this ribosomal RNA (395 nucleotides) under Thecofilosea sp. RNAcentral's name for it is "partial small subunit ribosomal RNA". It matches the Rfam family "Eukaryotic small subunit ribosomal RNA", at positions 582 to 975 of the family's 1831-position model. Lineage: Eukaryota; Cercozoa; Thecofilosea. The record is from RNAcentral.
AUUCCAGCUCCAAUAGCGUAUAUUAAAGUUGUUGCAGUUAAAAAGCUCGUAGUUGGAUUUCUGGCGUGAGGUGCUUGACCCGCCGCGGUUACGCGUGUGAGUGUCGGUGUGCCUCGGCCAUCCUUCUAGAAAUUGGCUCUGCCCUUCAUUGGGUUGGGGUCAGGAUCUAGAUCUUUUACUUUGAAAAAAUUAGAGUGUUUAAAGCAAGCGUUGCGUGAAUACAUUAGCAUGGAAUAAUAACUUAGGACUUCGGUUCUAUUUUGUUGGUUUCUAGGACUGAAGUAAUGAUUGAUAGGGAUAGUUGGGGGUGCUAGUAUUCAGCGGCCAGAGGUGAAAUUCUUGGAUUCGCUGAAGACUAACUUAUGCGAAAGCAUUCACCAAGGAUGUCUUCAUCG